Molecule: non-coding RNA, 75 nt
Organism: Streptomyces uncialis
Lineage: Bacteria; Bacillati; Actinomycetota; Actinomycetes; Kitasatosporales; Streptomycetaceae
Rfam family: ASpks TB sRNA
Source: Rfam
CUUCAGCGACCCGAGCCACAAGGGCCGUUCGGCGGGCCGGUCCUGACCGUAGGUGGCAAGGAGGGCCUGGGCCUC